GCUGUGUCCCACAGGAUCUGUUUUGCUAAAACAGGAAACAAGAAACGGUGCCCUGCUGACUGCCCUGUCCUGAUCAGCAGGUUUAGAAGUGCAGUGUUAUUCUUUUCCUCAUUUACUGAGUGUCAAUUUUUGAAAUAUCCUGUCCUUCCCACUUUGAGAACUUUCCUCUCAAUUGUACCUCCAGGAACAGCGACACUGGCUGGUCAAAUCUUUCCCCCGACUGGCAUACCUCUUCCACCUCUUCACUUUCAGCACCACAGCAAGUAACUGCCUUGUCGAAUCUUACAAAGCAUUGACUCAGCUUCUAUGCUGCAAAGCACUGGCCCUGAAGCUGAUAAAGCUCUGUCUCUGGGAAAGACACAAGUUAGGGCUUCCGGUGGAAUCAAUGUUUCACCUGGAGAGCUUUAAUUUACUGAAGUUGCUAACUGGAAAUGAGGCCAGAGGUAACGGGUUCCAUGGGACUGUGAUGAACCCACUGUACCCCUUCAGCCUGUGA
RNAcentral lists this long non-coding RNA (496 nucleotides) under Fukomys damarensis (Damara mole-rat). RNAcentral's name for it is "lncRNA (ENSFDAG00000032125.1)". Lineage: Eukaryota; Metazoa; Chordata; Mammalia; Rodentia; Bathyergidae. The record is from RNAcentral.